ACCAGGGCUUCGGCUCUGGGGAAAGCGGCGAACGGGUGAGUAACACGUGAGUAACCUGUCCUCGGCACCGGGAUAGCCCGGGGAAACCCGGAUUAAUACCGGAUGGCCUUUCGAGCUCUCGGGCUCGUCAGAAAAGGUAGCUUCGGCCUCCGGCCGAGGAGGGACUCGCGGCGGAUUAGCUUGUUGGUGAGGUAACGGCUCACCAAGGCGACGAUCCGUAGCUGGUCUGAGAGGACGAUCAGCCACACUGGGACUGAGACACGGCCCAGACUCCUACGGGAGGCAGCAGUGGGGAAUCUUGCGCAAUGGGCGAAAGCCUGACGCAGCGACGCCGCGUGCGGGAAGAAGGCCUUCGGG
This 357-nucleotide ribosomal RNA is filed under the name uncultured bacterium. Its description in RNAcentral is "bacterial SSU rRNA". It matches the Rfam family "Bacterial small subunit ribosomal RNA", at positions 71 to 422 of the family's 1533-position model. The record is from RNAcentral.